AAGCACUGUCUUUGAACCUGUGACUUGCCCAGUAUGUGGGGUCACUGGCCAAGCAUCAGUGCCAGAGUAAGCAGCUGGUUAUAACUGGUGCUUCAUGGCCGCAUCCUGUGUUGCGCCUUUAAAACACAGCUACAUGA
This is a small nucleolar RNA of Pseudophryne corroboree (corroboree frog), 137 nucleotides long. Lineage: Eukaryota; Metazoa; Chordata; Amphibia; Anura; Myobatrachidae. The record is from RefSeq and is a predicted model, not a curated record.